CUGUCGAUGUGUAUUAAUUGUAGUUUUGCAUAUUCUUUCAGGAAGAAGUUCCCUCUAUAUCAUCCUUUCCACAGGAGGCAUCUUCCUCCUCAUCACCUUGGUAACAAUAUGUGCCUGCUGGACGCCUUCCAAAAAGCCAAAACACCCAGCUAGAAAGCCUCUCUCCAGGUUUUAUGAUCACUCUCAUCGCUCACCAAUGAAUCACACUGAUGACGUGCUUCCAAAAGUGACAGACCAUAACGGAGUACAUGCAGUAACUUCACUUUAUGUCCUCCAGCAAAGGGUAUCUAUGUCAUUACCACUA
Larimichthys crocea (large yellow croaker) is the source of this 304-nucleotide long non-coding RNA. RefSeq lists it as uncharacterized. NCBI's taxonomy places the organism in Eukaryota, Metazoa, Chordata, Actinopteri, Sciaenidae. The record is from RefSeq and is a predicted model, not a curated record. The transcript is spliced from 3 exons.